CUCUCCCUUUUUUUCUUCCUCCCAACCACCAUGGUGGUGGAAAACUAGGGUCGGUCACCUUCAUUGGUCCUCAACAGUCGGGCACCUUUGGUGGCUCCCAACAGCAGUGAGACUAUGCCCCCAAUGAUGGCUCUUGCCGGUGGGGGUCAACAUCCCAAAUCCAAACAUGGACUGUCCUGUUCAAGCCAAUGGACUACCAAUCUGAUGGAUUGUUGGACCCAUCCAACUAUCGGUGACAAGAAAAAGACCGAAAAAAGAAAAAAAAAAAGGGAGAGAAGGAGAUUACCUUGGUCUGAUAGAGCUAGAGGAGGUUUUCAGCAACCUCUUCCUAUCAGCAACCCAAGAGAAAAAUUUGAGAAAUUCUGGACAAUCAACGGUGAUUCUUCAAGCAACCAAGGUGGAGAUCCAAGGGAGGGAAGAGGCUUCUUAUAGAUGGGACUCCUAACGUGAAUUGGACUCCCAUCGGUCCCGGUUUCGAUGAGAUCAGGAGCGAAGUGGACUCCUUUCCUGAUGGAGAGGCUGGGUGCAUAGUCGAGUAUCCUCAACAUCCAUUACUAUCCUUCUGAAUGGACAAGCUGGUAAAUAGAUGAAAUGCAAAGAGGGGUUGAGGCAAGAUGACCCACUCUCACUGUCACUUUUCAUUUUAGUAGUUAAUGUUUUGUCUUCGAUACUCAAGAGGGCCUCAGCUAUUGGACUCAUAGAAGGCACUGGGAGACGUGGAAUUUAGCGGCUUAUCCUCUUUGCAAUUUGUUGACGAUACUCUCUUAUUUUAUGCUAGCGAAAAGCAAAAAUGCAUUGACGGCUGAAGCCAUAGUGCUAGCCUUUGAAUGUGCUUCAAAUUGAAAGUUAACUUUCAUAAGAGCUCGUUAUUAUGUUUAAAUAUGGCCGAGGAGGAAGCUUCUUUAUUGACAUCCUAAUUAGUUGUAAACAAGGAUCUUUUCCUUUCA
Elaeis guineensis (African oil palm) is the source of this 947-nucleotide long non-coding RNA. RefSeq lists it as uncharacterized. NCBI's taxonomy places the organism in Eukaryota, Viridiplantae, Streptophyta, Magnoliopsida, Arecales, Arecaceae. The record is from RefSeq and is a predicted model, not a curated record.